This 384-nucleotide long non-coding RNA is filed under the name Felis catus (domestic cat). RNAcentral describes it as "lncRNA (ENSFCAG00000043771.2)". The record is from RNAcentral. Lineage: Eukaryota; Metazoa; Chordata; Mammalia; Carnivora; Felidae.
CCAUCAUUGCCUUUCAGGUCACUUUAGAGUGAAAAGUUCUUGAGCUAUCACUUAGCGAAGUCAUGGUUCACACCAGCCACUGAAAGAAACAUCACUGAUUGAUUGCAAUCUCUAAAAUGGGGACUUCACAUACUCUAAGGGAAUCUUCAAAGUGAUGGUAUGGUUUACGCAGUGGAUUUAUUGUUACCAUCUCAGAGGAAGUUACAAAUCGUAUGUGUAAAACCUAGAAGCAGAAAGAGGGCUGAAGAUGUGAUGGUGUGUACCAUAAGAAAAUAAGGGAAGCAAACGUUCACUGAGAUGAAACAGAACAAGAUAUUAGGAGCUAUGUAAAACUGAGAGAGAGACUUGUGGCAUCGUAAGAAGGUCCAGGCGGUAACUGUUGGU